AUACGAAAGGUGCAAGCGUUGUUCGGAUUUACUGGGCGUAAAGAGAGUGUAGGUUGUUUAUUAAGUCGGAUGUGAAAUCCCGGGGCUCAACCUCGGAACUGCAUUCGAUACUGAUAGGCUAGAGUUUGGGAGGGGUAAGCGGAAUUCCGUGUGUAGCAGUGAAAUGCGUAGAUAUACGGAGGAACACCUGAGGCGCAGGCGGCUUACUGGACCAAUACUGACACUGAGACUCGAAAGCGUGGGUAGCAAACAGGAUUAGAAACCCUAGUAGUCC
RNAcentral lists this ribosomal RNA (274 nucleotides) under uncultured bacterium. RNAcentral describes it as "partial 16S ribosomal RNA". It matches the Rfam family "Bacterial small subunit ribosomal RNA", at positions 523 to 796 of the family's 1533-position model. The record is from RNAcentral.